RNAcentral lists this ribosomal RNA (379 nucleotides) under uncultured eukaryote. RNAcentral describes it as "partial 18S ribosomal RNA". It matches the Rfam family "Eukaryotic small subunit ribosomal RNA", at positions 592 to 976 of the family's 1831-position model. The record is from RNAcentral.
CAAUAGCGUAUAUUAAAGUUGUUGCGGUAAAAAAGCUCGUAGUUGGAUUUCUGUUGAGAGCGACCGGUCCAUACCAUGUAUGCGUAUCUGGCUUGCUCUCGGCAUCCUCUCGAUAGACGUUACUGCGCUUGAUUGCGUGGUGCGGAUCUCGGGACUUUUACUUUGAGGAAAUUAGAGUGUUCACGGCAGGCUUUCGCCAGAAUACAUUAGCAUGGAAUAAUACUAUAGGAUCUUGGUUCUAUUUUGUUGGUUUCUAGAAUUGAGAUAAUGAUUAAUAGGGACAAUUGGGGGCAUUCGUAUCAACACGUCAGAGGUGGAAUUCUUGGAUUGCGUUGCGACGAACUACUGCGAAAGCAUUUGCCAAGGAUGUUUUCAUUGA